UGUAAGCGUAUACCAAAGUUGUUGCAGUUAAAACGCUCGUGGUCGGAAUUUGGCAGUUCCGGAUGUGUGCACGUCGUGUGCGCACUUCGCGGGGAUUGCUUUUGUGGUCUUGCGUAGGAUGAGGCACUUUUAUUAGUGAACGUCCUCACGCAACCACUUUUUACUGUGAGAAAAUCAGAGUGCUCAAAGCAGGCAUUUGCCGUGAAUGUAUUAGCAUGGAAUAAUAGAAUAGGACUUGGUUCUAUUUUGUUGGUUUGUUGGGACUGAGUAAUGAUUAAGAGGGACAGUUGGGGGCAUUUGUAUUUCGGUGCUAGAGGUGAAAUUCUUAGAUUACCGAAAGACAAACUGCUGCAAAAGCGUCUGCCAAGGAUGUUUUCAUUGA
RNAcentral lists this ribosomal RNA (382 nucleotides) under uncultured eukaryote. RNAcentral's name for it is "partial 18S ribosomal RNA". It matches the Rfam family "Eukaryotic small subunit ribosomal RNA", at positions 592 to 976 of the family's 1831-position model. The record is from RNAcentral.